GAGAGGUUAGUUUAAAUAAAAUAUUAUUUUGUCAAAAUAAAGUUAGUCAUUGAUUACCCCUUA
This 63-nucleotide transfer RNA is filed under the name Lethocerus indicus. Its description in RNAcentral is "tRNA-Asp". Lineage: Eukaryota; Metazoa; Arthropoda; Insecta; Hemiptera; Belostomatidae. The record is from RNAcentral.